Molecule: ribosomal RNA, 298 nt
Filed under: uncultured bacterium
Lineage: Bacteria
Description: partial 16S ribosomal RNA
Rfam family: Bacterial small subunit ribosomal RNA
Source: RNAcentral
UGGGUCCUACGGGACGCAGCAGUGAGGAAUAUUGGUCAAUGGGAGAGAUCCUGAACCAGCCACGCCGCGUGAGGGAAGACGGCCCUAUGGGUUGUAAACCUCUUUUUUCGGAGAACAAAACCCGGGACGUGUCCCGGACUGCGUGUAUCCGACGAAAAAGCAUCGCCUAACUCCGUGCCAGCAGCCGCGGUAAUACGGAGGAUGCGAGCGUGUUCCGGAUUUAUUGGUUUUAAAGUGUGCGUAGGCGGUCCGUUAAGUCAGCGUUAAAAUUGCGGUGCUCAACCCCGUCGAGCCGUUG